RNAcentral lists this ribosomal RNA (439 nucleotides) under uncultured bacterium. RNAcentral's name for it is "partial 16S ribosomal RNA". It matches the Rfam family "Bacterial small subunit ribosomal RNA", at positions 339 to 795 of the family's 1533-position model. The record is from RNAcentral.
CUACGGGUCGCUCCAGUGGGGAAUAUUGGACAAUGGGCGCAAGCCUGAUCCAGCAAUGCCGCGUGAGUGAAGACGGCCUUAGGGUUGUAAAACUCUUUCGCUAGGGAAGAUAAUGACUGUACCUAGUAAAGAAGUCCCGGCUAACUCCGUGCCAGCAGCCGCGGUAAUACGGAGGGGACUAGCGUUGUUCGGAAUUACUGGGCGUAAAGAGUUCGUAGGCGGACUGACAAGUUAGAGGUGAAAUCCCAGGGCUCAACCCUGGAACUGCCUUUAAAACUGUCAGUGUAGAGACCGGAAGAGGUUAGGGGAAUACCUAGUGUAGAGGUGAAAUUCGUAGAUAUUAGGUGGAACACCAGUGGCGAAGGCGCCUAACUGGUCCGGUACUGACGCUGAGGAACGAAAGCGUGGGGAGCAAACAAGAUUAGAUACCCCAGUAGUC